UACGGGGGGGGUAAGCGUUGUUCGGAAUUACUGGGCGUAAAGGGCUCGUAGGCGGCCAACUAAGUCAGACGUGAAAUCCCUCGGCUUAACCGGGGAACUGCGUCUGAUACUGGAUGGCUUGAGUUUGGGAGAGGGAUGCGGAAUUCCAGGUGUAGCGGUGAAAUGCGUAGAUAUCUGGAGGAACACCGGUGGCGAAGGCGGCAUCCUGGACCAACACUGACGCUGAGUGAGCGAAAGCCAGGGGAGCAAACGGG
RNAcentral lists this ribosomal RNA (254 nucleotides) under uncultured bacterium. RNAcentral's name for it is "partial 16S ribosomal RNA". It matches the Rfam family "Bacterial small subunit ribosomal RNA", at positions 524 to 776 of the family's 1533-position model. The record is from RNAcentral.